UGGGAGGGGGGAGGGGAGGGGAGGAAGGGGCGGGGGCGGGGGCGGGCACAAGGGCCUGGAGGAGAGGGAGGGCUGGUCCUGGACACCCAGCAGGCCAGAGUGCGGUGGGUUGCUUCCUUAGAUCAGAGCCCAGACUUUUCGGGAGGAGCACCCCGGGGAGCCUAGUGGAAGUGGAAGGUAAAGGACGCCUCCCUCCCCCCUGCUCCCCUGCUCUCUGGCUCGGGGCUCUUCCAGAGGCCUAACCCGGUCCCGAAUCCCGCCAGGGCAGCUGAGAGUCACCAUCCGGACUCUGUUCUCCACAAUUUCCGGGUCUCACCUGUCUAAGGCUGCCUCACCAGCGGAGACGUCCUCUUCAGGGCCCUCCAGGCCACCCUCCCAAGAGCACCCCAAGGAGCCGGGCACUGCCAACAAGCUGCCGCUCCCCCAAGAGCAGCCGCAGCCCCAGGAGCUCCCCCAAGAGCAGCCGCAGCCCCAGGAGCUCCCCCAAGACCAGCCGCAGCCCCAGGAGCUCCCCCAAGACCAGCCGCAGCCCCAGGAGCUCCCCCAAGACCAGCCGCAGCCCCAGGAGCUCCCCCAAGACCAGCCGCAGCCCCAGGAGCUCCCCCAAGACCAGCCGCAGCCCCAGGAGCUCCCCCAAGACCAGCCGCAGCCCCAGGAGCUCCCCCAAGACCAGCCGCAGCCCCAGGAGCUCCCCCAAGACCAGAUGCAGCCGCAGCCCCAAGAGGGCCCCCAAGAGAGGCGCCAUUCCAAGGGGCACCACCACCAUUCAAAACACCACCACCACCAUUCAAAAUGGCAGCAGCUCCCCCAAGAGCAGCCACAGCCCCGAAGGCUGUGCAAAUGCCAGAAAACACAGGAGCCGCCACUGCGGGUUAAGGUUCGGGACACCUUAGGGGAGCCCAGAACCCUGGCCGAAGUUAUGUUAAAAAAAUUAGAGGCCUGGGAUGCCUGGCGGUUCGGGUGGGUCCGCUGCCAGCCUCCGGAAGCCGCCGGGGUCGCCACAGAGCAGCCCAAGGACAAACCGAGGGACGGACCGGAGCCCACCCAGGCCUCACAGCCCUGCGCCAGUUUCAAGGCUCUGAGGAAGGCUAUCCAGAAGCCACCGAGCUGGCUCACCAGAGCAUGGCAACAGGGCAAAAAGGUGGUCUGCACCUGUACCAGGGGCUCCAGCUAAUCCCCUGCCCAGGCCACCUAACUGCAUUAGAUUUUUUUUUUAAUUUUUUAAAAUAUAUUUUAUUUGAUUAUUUCCAAGCAUUAUUCAUUAAAGACAUAGAUCAUUUCUUUUCCU
RNAcentral lists this long non-coding RNA (1288 nucleotides) under Monodelphis domestica (gray short-tailed opossum). Its description in RNAcentral is "lncRNA (ENSMODG00000043927.1)". Lineage: Eukaryota; Metazoa; Chordata; Mammalia; Didelphimorphia; Didelphidae. The record is from RNAcentral.